RNAcentral lists this ribosomal RNA (253 nucleotides) under uncultured bacterium. Its description in RNAcentral is "partial 16S ribosomal RNA". It matches the Rfam family "Bacterial small subunit ribosomal RNA", at positions 524 to 776 of the family's 1533-position model. The record is from RNAcentral.
UACGUAGGGGGCAAGCGUUAUCCGGAUUUACUGGGUGUAAAGGGAGCGCAGACGGAUGGAUAAGUCUGAAGUGAAAGCCCGCGGCUCAACUGCGGGACUGCUUUGGAAACUGUGCAUCUUGAGUACGGGAGGGGCAGGCGGAAUUCCUGGUGUAGCGGUGAAAUGCGUAGAUAUCAGGAGGAACACCGGCGGCGAAGGCGGCCUGCUGGACCGAAACUAACGUUGAGGCUCGAAAGCGUGGGGAGCAAACAGG